AUUGAACGCUGGCGGCAGGCCUAACACAUGCAAGUCGAGCGGAUGAAGGGAGCUUGCUCCUGGAUUCAGCGGCUGACGGGUGAGUAAUUCCUAGGAAUCUGCCUGGCAUUGUGGGAUAACGUCCGGAAACGGGCGCUAAUACCGCAUCCGUUCUGAGGGGGAAACUGGGGGAUUUUCGUACCUCACGCCAUCAGAUGAGCCUAGGUCGGAUUAUCCAGUUGGUGGGGUAAUGGCCUACCAAGCCGACGAUCCGUAACUGGUCUGAGAGGAUGAUCAGUCACACGGGAACUGAGACACGGUCCAGACUCCUACGGGAGGCAGCAGAGGGGAAUAUUGGACAAUGGGCGAAAGCCUGAUCCAGCCAGGCCGCGUGUGUGAAGAAGGUCUUCGGAUUGUAAAGCCCUUUAAGUUGGGAGGAAGGGCAGUAAGGUAAUACGUUGCUGUUUUGACGGUACCAAAAGAAUAAGCACCGGCUAACUUCGUG
Molecule: ribosomal RNA, 484 nt
Filed under: uncultured bacterium
Lineage: Bacteria
Description: partial 16S ribosomal RNA
Rfam family: Bacterial small subunit ribosomal RNA
Source: RNAcentral